CCGUCGGAAGUCGGCAUUUCCCCAUUUUUCUUUCGUCUUUGGAAUAACAAUAAGCUUCACACACCCACAUCAAACACCACUAAACAAGAAUAACAAACGCAACUAAAAUUUCAGCUCCUAUAAAUACAUAUCCUUAUCACAACUCCCACCAUUAUUUUACCUUGAAGCCAAGCAGGGACCAUAACAGCAACUCAGGUAGCUAGUGCUUCAUUUCUUGCAUUAUUUUAAAGUCACUUUCACUUCUCUUCAUGUAACUUACAACCCUUUUUUUCCAGAGCCAUGAACAUGGAGCAAGAGCAAGCAGCAGCUGCAAAAGACAAGAAGGAGAUUAACAAGAAGCGAGAUGAUAACAAAGACGAAGACAGUGACGAAGAUGGUGCUGAUGAUGAGCCAUCAUCAUCUUCGCCAGAGGAAUUCCUCAGAGCACAGCCAUGGACGAAGCAGAUCACAGUGAGAGGAUUCAUAGUGAGCAUAAUGAUUGGAUCAAUGUACAGUGUGAUAGCCAUGAAGCUCAACCUGACGACCGGAUUGGUUCCGAAUCUCAAUGUCUCGGCUGCACUAGUGGCCUUUGUCCUGAUCAGGGCAUGGACUAAGUUGGUUGGGAAGUUGGGAUAUGUUACAAAGCCUUUUACAAGACAGGAGAAUACUAUGAUCCAGACUUGUGCUGUGGCAUGUUACAGUAUUACCAUCGGAGGUGGAUUUGCUUCUUAUCUCUUGGGGCUAAACACAAAGACUUAUGAGCUUUCAGGUAUUCAUACAGAAGGGAACUCUCCUUCUGCUGUUAAGGAUCCUGGGUUUGGUUGGAUGACUGGUUACCUUUUUCUGGUGUGCUUUGUCGGCCUUUUUGUCUUAAUUCCUCUCAGAAAGGUAAUUAACUGAAUCCCCUUUAUGGGUUUCAUCUAAAAAUUAUAAAAGUUUCUUGCUUUACAACUUUACUAAUUAGUAGUUACAACUCUAAUCAAUUUUACAGGUGAUGAUUGUAGACAUGGAGUUGACUUAUCCUAGUGGCUUAGCCACUGCAGUUCUCAUCAAUGGAUUCCACAAUCGAGGCGACAAGAUGGCCAAGUACGUUACAAAGUUUCGAUCUUUUUACAGUACCCUAUGAAACCAACAUCAUGUUUCUAAAAAUAAGAUUCGAUCUUCCAUAUUAUGUUUCAGAAAGCAGGUUCGCGGGUUCAUGAACUACUUCUCGAUGAGUUUCGUUUGGGCACUGUUCAAGUGGUUCUAUGCAAAGACAGAGGAAUGUGGGUUCAAUCAGUUCCCAACCUUUGGGUUGAAAGCUUGGAAGCAAACGUAAGCAGAAAGUUGAAGUCUUUUUUUUCUCUGCAUAAAUUAAGUUGCAGAGAAAUAAAGUACUUUUCUGCUGAUAUUUCUGCAGGUUUUAUUUCGACUUCAACACAACAUACGUGGGAGCAGGGAUGAUAGUUUCACACCAAGUGAACCUUUCUCUUCUUUUUGGAGCUAUUUUGUCAUAUGGGAUCAUGUGGCCUCUCAUCGACGACCUUAAGGGAAAAUGGUUUGAAUCCAAUCUGGAAGAAAGCAGCAUGAAGAGCUUAUAUGGUUAUAAGGUCCCUAUCUCGAAUCAUUCCCCAAAAUCACUUCGUUGGAUCUAACUUUCCAAAAUUCCAUCCAACUUUCUUUUCACCUGCCAAUUUCGAGAAAAAAAACACUUUUCAAAGUGUUUUUUUUUUGCUUUCAGCUUCCUUCUAUUCUUAAAUAUGUUGUUGGAUUGGGAUAUUUGCUGCAGGUUUUUCUGUCAGUUGCACUCAUCCUAGGAGAUGGGCUCUACAAUUUCAUUAAGGUAAUGAGUUUCACUAUCAUCAACAUCCACGGCAGGAUGAGGAACAAGAAGCUCAAAUCAGAAGGUAACCCAACUUAGCUAAUUAAACACCAAACCAACAAUUCUUAAUGUACUGUUUUUCGCGGCAGAUUUGGGCUGUAAUUGGCCAGAUUUGGGGUCAAUUCCGGACGCCCAACCAAUUUCGUUGGAUAUGUUUUUCGCGGCCAAGUAACACCCAAUUCUGUUGAAUUUAGAGACUUAAUUCCGCCUAAUUCUAGCUUCCAAAUUCCGUUUGGAGUUGUCUGGAUUUGUCAAAUCCGAUGGAUUUAUCCUUGAAUUCGAAUUUCGAGGACUUAAAAAUUGUAGCCGAAACUGGCACCUUUGAGCGAAAAACGAUACCAAAGUUUUAAUUUGUUGUUUUUAUCUUCUAAUUUGGAAAGAUUAUUUAACAGGAACAGGGGAGUUUGAGAUAAAGCAACUGGAGGACAAGAAACAAACAGAGCUAUUUCUACGAGAGAAGAUACCUAUGUGGAUUGGAUUGGUGGGCUACAUUUCAUUCUCAAUCCUCUCAACAAUCAUGGUACCAAUGAUUUUCCCACAGCUGAAAUGGUACUACGUCGUCGUAGCCUACAUCCUAGCUCCAUCUCUGGCCUUCUGCAACGCUUACGGAGCAGGCCUCACCGACAUAAACAUGGCCUACAACUACGGCAAAGUCGCUCUCUUCAUCCUAGCAGCUGUUUCUGGGAAACAAAACGGAGUUGUCGCGGCUCUAGCAGGUUGCGGACUCGUAAAAUCGGUAGUCUCAGUGGCUUGCAUACUGAUGCAGGACUUCAAAACAGCUCAUUUGACACGCACGUCACCUAGGGCCAUGUUCGCUAGCCAGGUCAUGGGGACUGCACUCGGCUGCAUAAUGGCUCCCCUCAGUUUCUUCCUGUUUUACAAGGCUUUCGACGUUGGGAACCCGAACGGGGAGUUUAAGUCGCCUUACGCUUUGAUUUACAGGAACAUGGCUAUACUUGGGGUUGAGGGUUUCUCGGCUUUGCCUACGCAUUGUUUGCAGCUGUGUUAUGGGUUCUUUGCAUUUGCUGUGGGGAUUAACAUGGUGAGGGAUGCUGCUCCUGUGAAGAUUGGGAAUUGGAUGCCGAUGCCUAUGGUCAUGGCCAUCCCAUUUCUCGUUGGGGCUUAUUUCGCUAUUGAUAUGUGCCUGGGGAGUUUGAUAGUUUACGUUUGGAGCAAGAUGAAGCCGAAGAAGGCCGAGUUUAUGAUUCCAGCAGUUGCUUCUGGGAUGAUCUGUGGGGAAGGGUUGUGGACUCUUCCAUCGGCAAUUCUUGCUCUGGCGAAAGUAAAUCCGCCGAUGUGCAUGACUUUUGCCGGCUCCUAGGAAUUUGAUACUCAAACCACUCAUUUAGUUAUACCUAGUGGACAUAAUACCUACUGUUAUGACUUGUACCAAACCGGUUGUACCCGUUCCAACCGGAGACAAAUCUAUACACGUCAGUUACCAAGUUCAUCAUGGUUACUUCACAGUUUUACCAUGAAACUUAGAAUCAUUAGUCUCAUAGGUCUGUCUCCGGCAUAUCAGCAUUAGACCAGUUAAACUUGCAGCAAGGAAAAGAACCAACUGUGUGCUUAAUUUAAUAAUUUAUGAUGAUGCAGCAAAACUUCACAAACAUCCAAAAAGCUUUUCACCUGGCAUAGAUCAAUCACCCAAUUUUGCAUUGACAUGUGAACUGAAAGUAGAUGCUUAUCAUAAAAGACUUUUCCAUGAACUGUAUCAACACAGAGGGCCGCACAAAGUGGUGACAUCAAAUCAGCACAUGACGACACAGAAAUUAUGUCUCAACUUUGAUGGUCGUUUCUCACAUUGUUACUGGUAUAACCUGAUCUCCCUGAAAGGAUUUGUAGUUCUGGUUUGUUACACUGCUUGACCAAUUUUAGAGAUGCCAGGUGUAAACAGCAAAAUGAUAAGUCACUUUUAAGAAAGCUCUCUAUCACAAACGUAUAACCAAAAGUUCAAACCUAUGAGUACCCUAAGAUGCAUUUAUACCCAAAAGAUGAAAUGACCUGCUGGAACACAUCUUGAUUCAAAACUAAUUGUGACCUUUCCCAGUCAUUAUGUUGGUGCAGUGGGGUGUGCACUUAGAUAUCCAAGUUUAAGAUUGAUAGUGAUAACCACAACCAAUAAAUCCUUGUUGAUGUGAUAUGGCAUAACUAACUAGAGUAAAGAAAAAGCACUAUAAACCAAAUUAAUGCAUAGUGCGAAGAUACUAAUGGAGUAAUUUGGCUUUGGUGCAUGAGAAGCUGCAAUGUAAUAUGGCAGAUUGACUAUAUAAUUCAUUCAGCAAAACCUGCUUAAGAUUGGUUGGUGUCCCAGCUCUCACUAUAUCCUGUGCCAACCCAUACUGUAAAAAAGACACUAACUUAGCAUCUUGAGAACGUAGAUCGGAGAUACAACAGAAGAUUCCAAACUACUAUGAUACUAAGUCCAAAAUUCAUUAUCUUAUAUCUUGCUAAUUGCUCCUCUCACAAUUGUUUACUUUCACAAUAAUUCCACUGAGUUGUAACGUUGUUUUUCAAAACAAUUUGCUGACUCACUUGAAAGAUCGGUAAAUGAAAAGAACUUUACCUAUUUGAGCAAGUCCCCCAACUGUUGAAAAUGCCUGAAAAGCAUUUUCAAAACUCAAUUACACCACCGUAGUGAUCAAAUUCUACAUGUGCUCGCCGAGAUCUUCAGACAUGUACGCUCCAAACAGCGAUCGGCUGGUGAGCUAGCAUUCCCCUCUCGUAUUAAACUUAUGCUCUAGGCUCGAGUUCCAGCGAUGGCAACGGCACGUCGUCUGGGGUAGCUCGGUUAGACGGUUACUGCAGAUUCUGGAAGGGGUAUUUUUCGACAUUGGCCGAUUUCAUCCCAAUUAAUAAACACAGAAACUAGUGGAUGAAAUGGAGAAAUAGAAGAGCGGCUGAUCGGCGACGCUGACGAGCUGAAUGGAAGCUCAGAAAGUACGGGAAGAAAUAGAAUUUGAC
RNAcentral lists this long non-coding RNA (4804 nucleotides) under Linum usitatissimum (flax). RNAcentral's name for it is "long non-coding RNA (LUSI_LNC007839)". The record is from RNAcentral. Lineage: Eukaryota; Viridiplantae; Streptophyta; Magnoliopsida; Malpighiales; Linaceae.